RNAcentral lists this microRNA precursor (96 nucleotides) under Marmota marmota marmota (Alpine marmot). RNAcentral's name for it is "mir-544 microRNA precursor family". It matches the Rfam family "mir-544 microRNA precursor family". Lineage: Eukaryota; Metazoa; Chordata; Mammalia; Rodentia; Sciuridae. The record is from Rfam by way of RNAcentral. RNAcentral also lists the same sequence under 4 other names.
AUUGCCUAGGAAUCUUGUUAAAAUGCAGAUUCUGAUUCAGUGAGUCUGGCAAGGGGCCAAGAUUCCCAUUUCUAACAAGCUCCCAGGUGAUUAGAA